CAGUAGCCGCGGGAAUACGUAGGUGGCAAGCGUUGUCCGGAAUUAUUGGGCGUAAAGCGCACGUAGGCGGUUAUUCAAGUCAGAGGUGAAAGCCCGGGGCUCAACCCCGGAACUGCCUUUGAAACUAGAUGACUAGAAUCUUGGAGAGGUCAGUGGAAUUCCGAGUGUAGAGGUGGAAUUCGUAGAUAUUCGGAAGAACACCAGUGGCGAAGGCGACUGACUGGACAAGUAUUGACGCUGAGGUGCGAAAGCGUGGGGAGCAAACAGGAUUAGAUACCCCCGUAGUCCCUGUCUCUUAUAA
This 301-nucleotide ribosomal RNA is filed under the name uncultured bacterium. Its description in RNAcentral is "partial 16S ribosomal RNA". It matches the Rfam family "Bacterial small subunit ribosomal RNA", at positions 509 to 809 of the family's 1533-position model. The record is from RNAcentral.